Molecule: ribosomal RNA, 232 nt
Filed under: uncultured bacterium
Lineage: Bacteria
Description: partial 16S ribosomal RNA
Rfam family: Bacterial small subunit ribosomal RNA
Source: RNAcentral
GUUCGCCUACGGGGGGCAGCAGUGGGGAAUAUUGGACAAUGGGGGGAACCCUGAUCCAGCGACGCCGCGUGAGUGAAGAAGUAUUUCGGUAUGUAAAGCUCUAUCAGCAGGGAAGAAAAUGACGGUACCUGACUAAGAAGCCCCGGCUAACUACGUGCCAGCAGCCGCGGUAAUACGUAGGGGGCAAGCGUUAUCCGGAUUUACUGGGUGUAAAGGGAGCGUAGACGGCGCG